RNAcentral lists this ribosomal RNA (468 nucleotides) under uncultured bacterium. RNAcentral's name for it is "partial 16S ribosomal RNA". It matches the Rfam family "Bacterial small subunit ribosomal RNA", at positions 28 to 507 of the family's 1533-position model. The record is from RNAcentral.
GACGAACGCUGGCGGCGUGCUUAACACAUGCAAGUCGAACGGAAAGGCCCUGCUUUUGUGGGGUGCUCGAGUGGCGAACGGGUGAGUAACACGUGAGUAACCUGCCCUUGACUUUGGGAUAACUUCAGGAAACUGGGGCUAAUACCGGAUAGGAGCUCCUGCUGCAUGGUGGGGGUUGGAAAGUUUCGGCGGUUGGGGAUGGACUCGCGGCUUAUCAGCUUGUUGGUGGGGUAGUGGCUUACCAAGGCUUUGACGGGUAGCCGGCCUGGGAGGGUGACCGGCCACAUUGGGACUGAGAUACGGCCCAGAAUCCUACGGGAGGCAGCAGUGGGGAAUAUUACACAAUGGGCGGAAGCCUGAUGCAGCAACGCCGCGUGCGGGAUGACGGCCUUCGGGUUGUAAACCGCUUUCGCCUGUGACGAAGCGUGAGUGACGGUAAUGGGUAAAGAAGCACCGGCUAACUACGUG